This is a non-coding RNA of Meleagris gallopavo (turkey), 273 nucleotides long. Lineage: Eukaryota; Metazoa; Chordata; Aves; Galliformes; Phasianidae. The record is from RefSeq and is a predicted model, not a curated record.
UGAAGGCUGGUCCGGGCCGAUUCGGUUCACAGCUUGAGCACUGCUUUUCCUUAUCAGUGUUUGUGUUGCACAACAGCUAUACUGACAGAGUACUAAAGGCAGUGCACAGAGUCAGUAAGUGUGUGAGUAGGCUGCAGAAUGGCAACCGAAAAGAACACGCUGCUGUCCUUGAUCCUCAUCGCCGGGCUCACAGCACUCGUAGCUACUGGGCAAAAAGCAGAGCAGCCAGAAGUGGUGACCAAAUAUGGGACUGCCCGAGGAUUCCAAAUCAAA